This 332-nucleotide unclassified non-coding RNA is filed under the name soil metagenome. Its description in RNAcentral is "partial contains 5.8S ribosomal RNA, internal transcribed spacer 2, and large subunit ribosomal RNA". The stretch from base 1 to 120 matches the Rfam family "5.8S ribosomal RNA", at positions 35 to 154 of the family's 154-position model. The record is from RNAcentral.
GAUGAAGAACGCAGCAAAAUGCGAUAAGUAAUGUGAAUUGCAGAAUUCAGUGAAUCAUCGAAUCUUUGAACGCACAUUGCGCCCGCCAGUAUUCUGGCGGGCAUGCCUGUUCGAGCGUCAUUUCAACCCUCAAGCACAGCUUGGUGUUGGGACUCGCGUUAAUUCGCGUUCCCCAAAUUGAUUGGCGGUCACGUCGAGCUUCCAUAGCGUAGUAGUAAAACCCUCGUUACUGGUAAUCGUCGCGGCCACGCCGUUAAACCCCAACUUCUGAAUGUUGACCUCGGAUCAGGUAGGAAUACCCGCUGAAUUUAAGCAUAUCAAUAAGCGGAGGA